This 462-nucleotide ribosomal RNA is filed under the name uncultured bacterium. RNAcentral's name for it is "bacterial SSU rRNA". It matches the Rfam family "Bacterial small subunit ribosomal RNA", at positions 30 to 506 of the family's 1533-position model. The record is from RNAcentral.
UUGAACGCUGGCGGCAUGGCUAAAACAUGCAAGUCGAACGAGGUUUAUUUCUUCGGAUAUGGACCUAGUGGCGAAAGGGCGAGUAAUGCAUUUCUGACGUACCCCGAGGUUCAGGAUAGCCCAGGGAAUCCUGGAGUAAUACUGGAUGCGGUCAACGGGUCUAGAAGCCGUUGAUCAAAGGAGCAAUCCGCCUUGGGCGCGGGAAAUGUCCUAUCAGGUUGUUGGUGGGGUAAUGGCCUACCAAGCCGAAGACGGGUAGCGGGUGUGAGAGCACGGCCCGCCGCAUCGGGACUGAGACACUGCCCGGACUCCUACGGGAGGCUGCAGUAACGAAUAUUCCACAAUGCGCGAAAGCGUGAUGGAGCAAUGCCGCGUGCAGGAUGAAGGCCCUCGGGUUGUAAACUGCUGUCAGGGUUUAGGAACACAAUGACCAGACCCAAAGGAAGAGACGGCUAACUCUGU